RNAcentral lists this ribosomal RNA (344 nucleotides) under Pseudomonas fluorescens. RNAcentral's name for it is "bacterial SSU rRNA". It matches the Rfam family "Bacterial small subunit ribosomal RNA", at positions 169 to 508 of the family's 1533-position model. The record is from RNAcentral. Lineage: Bacteria; Pseudomonadati; Pseudomonadota; Gammaproteobacteria; Pseudomonadales; Pseudomonadaceae.
CCGCAUACGUCCUACGGGAGAAAGCAGGGGACCUUCGGGCCUUGCGCUAUCAGAUGAGCCUAGGUCGGAUUAGCUAGUUGGUGGGGUAAUGGCUCACCAAGGCGACGAUCCGUAACUGGUCUGAGAGGAUGAUCAGUCACACUGGAACUGAGACACGGUCCAGACUCCUACGGGAGGCAGCAGUGGGGAAUAUUGGACAAUGGGCGAAAGCCUGAUCCAGCCAUGCCGCGUGUGUGAAGAAGGUCUUCGGAUUGUAAAGCACUUUAAGUUGGGAGGAAGGGUUGUAGAUUAAUACUCUGCAAUUUUGACGUUACCGACAGAAUAAGCACCGGCUAACUCUGUGC